GGACGCCUGUUGACAUUGAAUUUCAGAUAAACGUAUUAAAAAAUAGUGUUAAGUAUAUCCCAUGCAACGUUUGGGAGAUACUUAUGCUGAAAAACAUGUUGUUGUUGUUAGGUGUGUCGAGUCAGUACCUACUCAU
This 136-nucleotide microRNA precursor is filed under the name Loxodonta africana (African savanna elephant). Its description in RNAcentral is "miRNA (ENSLAFG00000033246.1)". The record is from RNAcentral. Lineage: Eukaryota; Metazoa; Chordata; Mammalia; Proboscidea; Elephantidae.